ACCAACACUCGAUGCGACACAUCCUAGUACUACGAAUCUAGACAUAUUUCUAUCCAGAUUCGUUGUACUAUAAUGUGUCACAUACAGAGCUAGAUU
Molecule: unclassified non-coding RNA, 96 nt
Filed under: Oryza sativa (Asian cultivated rice)
Lineage: Eukaryota; Viridiplantae; Streptophyta; Magnoliopsida; Poales; Poaceae
Description: partial microRNA MIR468n-9 precursor
Source: RNAcentral